AGAGUUAAAUAGUACGUGAAAUUGUUGAAAGGGAAACGAUUGAAGUCAGUCAUGCUUGCAGGGAAUCAACAAAGUGGUUUUCUUCCUUGUGCACUUCCUUGCUUGACAGGUUAGCAUCAAUUUUGAUUGUCAUUAAAGAACUGGGGGAAUGUGGCUUCUUCGGGAGUGUUAUAGACCCUGGUAGAUGUGGCGAUUGGGAUUGAGGAUUGCAGCGAAUGCUUCUUGGCUAGUCAUCUGGCUUCUGAUGGUCACCUUGCUUUUGAUAGCUUGCUAACGUUGGUGAGAUUUGAUUGUCUAGAUGUUGGAGUGAUCAUAAAUUUGCUAAGGAUGCUGACGUAAUGGUUUUAAACGA
This 352-nucleotide unclassified non-coding RNA is filed under the name uncultured Glomeromycotina. RNAcentral describes it as "sequence contains 28S rRNA gene". The record is from RNAcentral. Lineage: Eukaryota; Fungi; Glomeromycota.